AACGAACGCUGGCGGCAUGCCUAACACAUGCAAGUCGAACGAAGGCUUCGGCCUUAGUGGCGCACGGGUGAGUAACGCGUGGGAAACUGCCUAUUGGUGGGGAAUAACGACGGGAAACUGUCGCUAAUACCGCAUAAGCCCUUCGGGGGAAAGAUUUAUCGCCGACAGAUGUGCCCGCGUCCGAUUAGCUAGUUGGUGAGGUAAUGGCUCACCAAGGCGACGAUCGGUAGCUGGUCUGAGAGGAUGAUCAGCUACACUGGGACUGAGACACGGCCCAGACUCCUACGGGAGGCAGCAGUGGGGAAUAUUGGACAAUGGGCGAACGCCUGAUCCAGCAAUGCCGCGUGAGUGAUGAAGGCCUUAGGGUUGUAAAGCUCUUUCGGGUGGGACGAUGAUGACGGUACCACCAGAAGAAGCCCCGGCUAACUUCGUGCCAGCAGCCGCCGUAA
This 449-nucleotide ribosomal RNA is filed under the name uncultured bacterium. Its description in RNAcentral is "partial 16S ribosomal RNA". It matches the Rfam family "Bacterial small subunit ribosomal RNA", at positions 29 to 523 of the family's 1533-position model. The record is from RNAcentral.